RNAcentral lists this long non-coding RNA (277 nucleotides) under Elaeis guineensis (African oil palm). Its description in RNAcentral is "long non-coding RNA (EGUI_LNC071609)". The record is from RNAcentral. Lineage: Eukaryota; Viridiplantae; Streptophyta; Magnoliopsida; Arecales; Arecaceae.
GCUGCAGGAAUUUAUCGAGAAGCUGCUGCUCCAGCUUCAAAAGAUCUUUUGAAGAUCUUCCAGAUCAGAUCCAGAUCUGAUUUUUGGAGCAAAGAUUCAUGAGGAGAAGAUGAUCUAGAUCCUACUUGAGUGGAUACUGAUAGUGGCCAGACGACUGCAUGACUAUUUUAGAACCUAGAGGUAUUCCUCUAAUCCUCAAGUUUUAGAUUUAAUUUUAGAUUAAAUAUCAGAUAAUAAGAAUUAGAUCUAAUAGAUCUUAAAUCUUAAAAAAGUAGGA